This 253-nucleotide ribosomal RNA is filed under the name uncultured bacterium. Its description in RNAcentral is "partial 16S ribosomal RNA". It matches the Rfam family "Bacterial small subunit ribosomal RNA", at positions 524 to 776 of the family's 1533-position model. The record is from RNAcentral.
UACAGAGGGUGCGAGCGUUAAUCGGAAUUACUGGGCGUAAAGCGUGCGUAGACGGUUAUUUAAGUCGGGUGUGAAAGCCCCGGGCUCAACCUGGGAAUUGCAUUCGAGACUGAAUAGCUAGGGUACGGUAGAGGGAAGUGGAAUUUCCGGUGUAGCGGUGAAAUGCGUAGAUAUCGGAAGGAACAUCAGUGGCGAAGGCGGGUCUCUGGGCCGAUACUGACGCUGAGGAGCGAAAGCGUGGGGAGCGAACAGG